GAGGCCAUAGCUCAGUGGUGGAGCAUUUGCUUUGCAUUGAGAAGGUUGUCAGUUCAAUCCCUGGUUGGCCUGA
Podarcis lilfordi (Lilford's wall lizard) is the source of this 73-nucleotide non-coding RNA. NCBI's taxonomy places the organism in Eukaryota, Metazoa, Chordata, Lepidosauria, Squamata, Lacertidae. The record is from the annotation of a GenBank genome assembly.